CGAAAGGCCUGCCGAGCUGCGAGUCCAUUGUAUGCAGCUCUAGCCAUAGCAUAGAGUUAGUAGAACAACUCUAGAGGAAAAGCUGGGCCGGAAAAGUGGGAACCUCUAGGGCGCCGCCAUGUUGCUACUGGUCAAUGUGGCCAGCGCAAUUACUAUUGAAAGAGCUGAGAACAAGUACAGGUCACCUUAUGCUUUGUCACCUAAAAACGCAUACCUGAUGGCUUUAUGAAGGUGGUACGUUAAUAUUAAGUUUACAGAAAGCGAUCGCUAAGUCCGUGACUUAUGUAAAUCACGAUGUACGCAUUCAUGCAAUAAAGGAUGGCGCGAAUUUCGGUUUCGAAUCUGUUUUUUGGAUGCGUAGUAGUUUCGUUUGACAUGCGAUCGCGCGUCGACAUCGGACGCUAUGACACACUCGUGCCUUAUGUGCCACCGAAGCCCCGAAGUGGUCUCGCAUAUACCUUCACAUAUAUGCAAUGGCAAGCCCUUCCGUGUGUUCCAAAGACAAUGCCUACGCCUAGCCACAGCAGCUCCCUCAUACAGACUCCGCAAACCAAGAGGCCGUGGAGGCAAAUGCAGGCAGCCAGCACACCUCGAACAGCCACCUUGACUGCGGGUGUGUCACCCUAGUCGCCAAGGAAACAUUUGAGGGAAAGUGACAGGCAAUGUGAACAGCCACUCCUCCAUGUAAACAAUACUCUUUCUCUCGGAUGACUCCUACGCCUCACCACGCCAGCACACUUGUGCACAAAGAUGCCGCAGAGGCACGUGCAGGUCAGAGGCAAGAAGCAGUGGCACUGGUGUCGACAUUUACCCAAUUUCUUUUUCUUACACUGAGGCAGCCAGCACACCUCGAACAGCCACCUCGACUGCGGGUGUGUUAGUUGAUCCCUGUUGUACAUAUGCUCAUAAUAAACUUCAGUAAACUUGAACUUCAUAAUAAACUUGAAGGCAAAUGGUA
Long non-coding RNA from Dermacentor albipictus, 958 nucleotides. RefSeq lists it as uncharacterized. The record is from RefSeq and is a predicted model, not a curated record. Lineage: Eukaryota; Metazoa; Arthropoda; Arachnida; Ixodida; Ixodidae.